AAACAACUUAUUUCCUUUUUUUAAACGUGACAGUCGUCCAUAGUCUGUCACAUUCAUUAGAACAAGGGCAAGUGAGAAAUAUAAGAAAACCUCUCUCUCUCUCUCUCGCACACGCACGCACACACACACACACACACACACACACACACACACACACACACACACACACGAAGUGUCUCGCACACACCAGCAACAGUCAAGAAGACAACGGCUAGCAGAUAGAUGGUCGCUAAGCAACAGGCAAAAGACUAAAAAUAUGGUCGCAUUUCUUCAUUCACUUAGAGAGCAGGCACACGCACAAACUCACACACACACGCAAACACUUUCAGUCGUCCUCCAGCAAGGCUUAUCAACCUUUAAAAAGCCUACAUUUCUAAAUCCGUCCCAGUAUUCCUGUGUUCCUGUGGCGUCAGCAGCACUAUUAUCCUGCCCACUCAUUCGGAAACUGGCAACUGUUACUGAAGCUUAAGUCAUUGAGAAAAAAAGAAAGAGUUUGGCCCUAGUAAGAGGCUGGCAGGGGCCAUGGCAAUGUGCAAGUCAUGCCAAACAUUGAAACACUGACCUCGGUCGUGGAGGGUUCAGGCCUAGGUUUCAACAUAUUAUGUGCUGAGACCAAAUAAUUACAGAUCAUUAAAGGGUGUGAAUGUUAAAUGUUAAAAUGAACAGCCUCAGCCGUGAAAUUAGCAAUUUUAGCCUCGUACAAAUAUGACUAAUUCAAGAGAUUUUUAAAGUUGUCGUUUUUUUUUUUACUGGUAAGGCUUAAAGUUAGGGGCGUGGACGCUAUCUCAACCUAUCAGGCAAAUGUCAACGUACAAACACACAUAUCUUAGUUUCACUGUGACUUAUCAUUAUAUAUUAUAUUUAGUGCUGUCAGCGUUAAUCUCGUUAAAAUGACGUUAACACCAUAACCGCAUUAACGCGGCAAAUCUCCGUUAGCGAGUUAGCGCGGAUCGCCCCGUGCGUGGGGCUGGACGGCGCUAACGUGUUAAUGAGCUAACGCAUUAACAAGCUAACGCAUUGUCAAUGUGCAGCCCCAUGCGUGGGGCGAUUCGCGCUAACUCGCUAACUGAGAUUUGCUAAUGCGGUUAUGGCGUUAAUGUCAUUUUAACGAGAUUAACGCUGACAAACUAUCAACAACCCACUGAAUACUUCCAGUUCACAUCUUCCCAAUGUGGCAGUUUGCAAAAUUUGGCUUUCAGACUAUCCCCACCUUUCACAUGGACAGUAGAGUUGCCUUAGGUUGACUUAACAUGACCUCAGCUUCUGAAAGGCUGAAAACGUCUUGACCAACGCCCUUUUCUACAGGUGUUGGGACAGGACAUGUCAUCAUGUUUAACUUCUGUAGAACAAUGUUAAAUCUUUGCAGCUAAAAGGAAUAUGGCAGAUGUCCAAACUCUAUCAUUGAAAGUGGGCUGGGGAAAACAGCUUUCCUUU
This is a long non-coding RNA of Astatotilapia calliptera (eastern happy), 1434 nucleotides long. The record is from Ensembl. NCBI's taxonomy places the organism in Eukaryota, Metazoa, Chordata, Actinopteri, Cichliformes, Cichlidae.